This 500-nucleotide ribosomal RNA is filed under the name uncultured bacterium. Its description in RNAcentral is "partial 16S ribosomal RNA". It matches the Rfam family "Bacterial small subunit ribosomal RNA", at positions 30 to 523 of the family's 1533-position model. The record is from RNAcentral.
AUUGAACGCUGGCGGAAUGCUUUACACAUGCAAGUCGAACGGCAGCACGGACUUCGGUCUGGUGGCGAGUGGCGAACGGGUGAGUAAUGUAUCGGAACGUGCCCAGUCGUGGGGGAUAACGUAGUGAAAAUUACGCUAAUACCGCAUACGAUCUAUGGAUGAAAGCAGGGGAUCGCAAGACCUCGCGCGAUUGGAGCGGCCGAUAUCAGAUUAGGUAGUUGGUGGGGUAAAGGCCCACCAAGCCAACGAUCUGUAGCUGGUCUGAGAGGACGACGAGCCACACUGGAACUGAGACACGGUCCAGACUCCUACGGGAGGCAGCAGUGGGGAAUUUUGGACAAUGGGCGAAAGCCUGAUCCAGCCAUUCCGCGUGCAGGAUGAAGGCCCUCGGGUUGUAAACUGCUUUUGUACAGAACGAAAAGGUUUCUACUAAUACUAGGAGCUCAUGACGGUACUGUAAGAAUAAGCACCGGCUAACUACGUGCCAGCCGCCGCGGUAA